RNAcentral lists this ribosomal RNA (253 nucleotides) under uncultured bacterium. RNAcentral describes it as "partial 16S ribosomal RNA". It matches the Rfam family "Bacterial small subunit ribosomal RNA", at positions 524 to 776 of the family's 1533-position model. The record is from RNAcentral.
GACGAACCGUGCGAACGUUGUUCGGAAUCACUGGGCUUAAAGGGCGCGUAGGCGGGCCGCCAGGUCGGGGGUGAAAUGCCGCAGCUUAACUGUGGAAGUGCCCCCGAUACCGGCGGCCUCGAGGGGGGUAGGGGCGUGUGGAACUUCCGGUGGAGCGGUGAAAUGCGUAGAUAUCGGAAGGAACGCCGGUGGCGAAAGCGACACGCUGGACCCCCACUGACGCUGAGGCGCGAAAGCCAGGGGAGCAAACGGG